UUCAUUCAUUAUUGUAAGUCGCUUUGGAUAAAAGCGUCUGCUAAAUGGCUAAAU
This is a non-coding RNA of Danio rerio (zebrafish), 54 nucleotides long. The record is from Rfam. Lineage: Eukaryota; Metazoa; Chordata; Actinopteri; Cypriniformes; Danionidae.